CCGCGACCCCAUGUCAGACGGGAUUACCCGCUGAGUUUAAGCAUAUC
Molecule: ribosomal RNA, 47 nt
Filed under: Elsholtzia bodinieri
Lineage: Eukaryota; Viridiplantae; Streptophyta; Magnoliopsida; Lamiales; Lamiaceae
Description: partial 26S ribosomal RNA
Source: RNAcentral